GGAUGGAUGUCUGAGCGGUUGAAAGAGUCGGUCUUGAAAACCAAAGUAUUGAUAACAAUACCAGGGGUUCGAAUCCCUCUCCAUUUG
This is a transfer RNA of 87 nucleotides. It matches the Rfam family "tRNA". From Rfam's summary of the family: Transfer RNA (tRNA) molecules are approximately 80 nucleotides in length. Their secondary structure includes four short double-helical elements and three loops (D, anti-codon, and T loops). The record is from Rfam.